RNAcentral lists this ribosomal RNA (497 nucleotides) under uncultured bacterium. RNAcentral's name for it is "partial 16S ribosomal RNA". It matches the Rfam family "Bacterial small subunit ribosomal RNA", at positions 28 to 507 of the family's 1533-position model. The record is from RNAcentral.
GAUGAACGCUGGCGGCGUGCCUAAUACAUGCAAGUCGAGCGAACGGACGAGAAGCUUGCUUCUCUGAUGUUAGCGGCGGACGGGUGAGUAACACGUGGAUAACCUACCUAUAAGACUGGGAUAACUUCGGGAAACCGGAGCUAAUACCGGAUGAUAUUUUGAACCGCAUGGUUCAAAAGUGAAAGACGGUCUUGCUGUCACUUAUAGAUGGAUCCGCGCUGCAUUAGCUAGUUGGUAAGGUAACGGCUUACCAAGGCAACGAUGCAUAGCCGACCUGAGAGGGUGAUCGGUCACACUGGAACUGAGACACGGUCAAGACUCCUAAGGGAGGCAGCAGUAGGGAAUCUUCCGCAAUGGGCGAAAGCCUGACGGAGCAACGCCGCGUGAGUGAUGAAGGUCUUCGGAUCGUAAAACUCUGUUAUUAGGGAAGAACAUAUGUGUAAGUAACUGUGCACAUCUUGACGGUACCCAAUCAGAAAGCCACGGCUAACUACGUG